Molecule: ribosomal RNA, 552 nt
Filed under: uncultured bacterium
Lineage: Bacteria
Description: bacterial SSU rRNA
Rfam family: Bacterial small subunit ribosomal RNA
Source: RNAcentral
ACUCCUACGGGAGGCAGCAGUGAGGAAUAUUGCGCAAUGGGGGAAACCCUGACGCAGCAACGCCGCGUGGGUGAAGAAGGCCUUCGGGUCGUAAAGCCCUUUCGGACGGGACGAACGCUCCGCGGUGACAACCCGCGGAGCCUGACGGUACCGUAAGAAGAAGCACCGGCUAACUCCGUGCCAGCAGCCGCGGUAAUACGGAGGGUGCAAGCGUUGUUCGGAAUUACUGGGCGUAAAGCGCGUGUAGGCGGCCUUGCAAGCCAGACGUGAAAGCCCCCGGCUUAACCGGGGAAGUGCGUCUGGAACUGCUCGGCUCGAGUACGGGAGAGGGAGGCGGAAUUCCCAGUGUAGAGGUGAAAUUCGUAGAUAUUGGGAGGAACACCGGUGGCGAAAGCGGCCUCCUGGACCGAUACUGACGCUGAGACGCGAAAGCGUGGGGAGCAAACAGGAUUAGAUACCCUGGUAGUCCACGCUGUAAACGAUGGGCACUAGGUGUGGGGGGUAUCCACUCCUCCCGUGCCGCAGCUAACGCAUUAAGUGCCCCGCCUGGGG